UGUUUGUGUAAAUAAAUAUAUACAGACAGUCGUCAGAUUACAUCGGACUCGACGUACAUCGUUUUGUGGUUACGUCGC
Long non-coding RNA from Myotis brandtii (Brandt's bat), 78 nucleotides. RefSeq lists it as uncharacterized. The record is from RefSeq and is a predicted model, not a curated record. The transcript is spliced from 3 exons. Lineage: Eukaryota; Metazoa; Chordata; Mammalia; Chiroptera; Vespertilionidae.